AACAAACGCUGGCGGCGUGCCUAAUACAUGCAAGUCGAACGGGGAAAGUAGCAAUAUGAGUACUAGUGGCGCACGGGUGAGUAACGCGUGGAUAAUCUGCCUUGAAGCGGGGGAUAACUAGUCGAAAGAUUAGCUCAUACCGCAUAAGACCACAAGAACUGAGGUUCAAGGGGUCAAAGGUUUUUCGCUUCAAGAUGAGUCCGCGUAAGAUUAGCUAGUUGGUGAGGUAAUGGCUCACCAAGGCAACGAUCUUUAACUGGUCUGAGAGGAUGAUCAGUCACACUGGAACUGAGACACGGUCCAGACUCCUACGGGAGGCAGCAGUAGGGAAUAUUGCACAAUGGAGGAAACUCUGAUGCAGCGACGCCGCGUGAGUGAUGAAGGCCUUCGGGUCGUAAAGCUCUGUCGCAGGGGAAUAACACAAUGAAUGUACCCUGUAAGAAAGGAUCGGCUAACUUCGUG
RNAcentral lists this ribosomal RNA (462 nucleotides) under uncultured bacterium. Its description in RNAcentral is "partial 16S ribosomal RNA". It matches the Rfam family "Bacterial small subunit ribosomal RNA", at positions 29 to 507 of the family's 1533-position model. The record is from RNAcentral.